This is a long non-coding RNA of Manis javanica (Malayan pangolin), 1006 nucleotides long. RefSeq lists it as uncharacterized. The record is from RefSeq and is a predicted model, not a curated record. Lineage: Eukaryota; Metazoa; Chordata; Mammalia; Pholidota; Manidae.
UAUCUUCUCUCCCACUUGAAGCUGCCUUUCUCAUUUUAGCCACUUUAAUGGGGACAGAGUGGUGUACACAGCACAUGAGUUUUAUGAUGGCCAAGGAGACUGUACAGCUCUUCAUAUGGGUGGAAAAUUUGUAUUUGUGGGAGACCAGCUCAGAGCGGACCUGCACCAAAUCUCCAUUGCUCACCCAGGCCUCACAGCUCUAGCAGGUGGAACAUUUUACUAUUUGGCUUCAUAGAAGUCAAUCCAAAACUCACAGCAACGCAGAACUAACGGCCCUGAACCUGGACAAGAGACACGGCUUCUGGUGCCGGCGAGGUUUCGCCUCUCUGGGUUUCCGUGUCCCUCCCACAGCGCGGAGGGCAGACACCGCAUCUCUCAUGCCCGCUGGGCUGAAGGCCCGCCGCCCAUCUCGGUACUUCCCCUCGGACUGCAGGCAAGCGCCCCGGGUGAGUGCGCCCCCAGAGCUGGAAUCCAGGGCCCGGAGGGGAGCCGUGCGCUCGCCCAGCUGCUUAACCACACGUGCGUGGGUGCAGACUCCUGGCUGUACCCCUUUCCGGGCGGGGGGUCACAGCCACCAACUCAGCCACCAGCAGGUCUCAAUCAACGAGAGAAUGGCUGGAGGAGCUGAAGGAAAUUCUGGGGGAGAAAUAAAAGAGAGUGAAAUGGGGGGAAGACAGCCUCCGCGCGCGACGCCUCCCGGAAACCGAGCCGCACCGCGAAGUCAUGCUGAGAACGAUGCGUGAGGCCCUGGCCACGUGCUGGGCAUUCCGCGCCGAAGGACCGGGGCACGCGCACCCGCGAACAGGCCAUGGGUCACUGGCUCUCCUCGGCUCCCCCUUCUGGAGACGUGUUUAGAGUCCAGGUCCUUAUAAUUUGACACUUGCAUUCAGAUUUUAACCAAUAUAUUACCAAAUUUACAUUUCCCUGUAUGGCCCCGGAAGACGGCUGGUUAGCCAGAGACGGGUAAGAUUCCUCAAGGGAGGAACAACCUAAGACAGGCACAGUC